RNAcentral lists this unclassified non-coding RNA (404 nucleotides) under fungal sp. RNAcentral's name for it is "partial internal transcribed spacer region". The stretch from base 1 to 46 matches the Rfam family "Eukaryotic small subunit ribosomal RNA", at positions 1786 to 1831 of the family's 1831-position model. Lineage: Eukaryota; Fungi. The record is from RNAcentral.
AAGUCGUAACAAGGUUUCCGUAGGUGAACCUGCGGAAGGAUCAUUAACACGAACUUUAUCCAAUAUCAAAACCAACCGUGAACUUUUCCCCUCCCUAUACAUCUAAGUAAAGGGUCUGACUCACUACUACUACUCGUAGUCAGUGUUCAGUCCUUUCUUUAUGUAUAGGCUAACCUCAUUAUUAUUUUUAAACUAAUAACCAUAUAACAUUUAUUUGUUAUAUGCUCUUAUUUCUUUAAACCCCUAAAACUUUUUUUUAACUUAAGUUCUCAUAUCUUUCUUCUAUGAUAGAUUAGAUGAACUACUAAACUAAAAAAAAUAUUUUCUAUUAAUUUGGAAAAUUAUUUUUCGGUAUUACGAAAAAAUUAAAAGAACAACUCUUAACAAUGGAUAUCUUGGUUCUC